Molecule: ribosomal RNA, 569 nt
Filed under: uncultured bacterium
Lineage: Bacteria
Description: partial 16S ribosomal RNA
Rfam family: Bacterial small subunit ribosomal RNA
Source: RNAcentral
UGGGGAAUUUUGGACAAUGGGCGAAAGCCUGAUCCAGCAAUGCCGCGUGUGUGAAGAAGGCCUUCGGGUUGUAAAGCACUUUUGUCCGGAAAGAAAUCCUUGGCUCUAAUACAGUCGGGGGAUGACGGUACCGGAAGAAUAAGCACCGGCUAACUACGUGCCAGCAGCCGCGGUAAUACGUAGGGUGCAAGCGUUAAUCGGAAUUACUGGGCGUAAAGCGUGCGCAGGCGGUUUGCUAAGACCGAUGUGAAAUCCCCGGGCUCAACCUGGGAACUGCAUUGGUGACUGGCAGGCUAGAGUAUGGCAGAGGGGGGUAGAAUUCCACGUGUAGCAGUGAAAAUGCGUAGAGAUGUGGAGGAAUACCGAUGGCGAAGGCAGCCCCCGGCAAGUAACUGACGCUCAUGCACGAAAAGCGUGGGGAGCAAACAGGAUUAGAUACCCUGGUAGUCCACGCCCUAAAACGAUGUCAACUAGUUGUUGGGGAUUCAUUUCCUUAGUAACGUAGCUAACGCGUGAAGUUGACCGCCUGGGGAGUACGGUCGCAAGAUUAAAAACUCAAAGGAAUUGAC